AGAAAAAGAUACUCCUAGUUAUAUUUGCUUGGAAGAAGGAGUUGAAGGCUCCUUUGAAAGCAUGGAAGUAGAGAGAGUUGAGGAUUCAUUUGACAGCAUAGAAGAAAAAAGAAUUGAAGAUUCCUUUGAUAGCAUUGACGAUGAUGCUGAAUCAGGCUUGCAAGAUGACAAAAUCAUGGAAGAAACUCCUGGUGAUAUUUGCUUGAAAGAAAGAGUUGAAGACUCCUUUGAAAGGAUGGAAGUAGAGAGUUGAAGAUUCAUUUGACAACUUACAAGAAAAAAGAAUUGAAGACUCAUUUGAUAGCAUUGAAGAUGAUGCUGAAUCAGACUUGUACCAUCCCCAUCUUGUUUGUAUUGCCGAGGGAAGGAGAAGUGAAGUUAGGGCUGAGUUAGCUAGUGGAGUUACCAGCAGAGUUUUUCUUAUUUAUAUUCUUUAUCAUGUUCUAUUUUUUCUGAAAAUUUCCAUUCUUGUCUUCCAGCUAGCGCUCUAUCUCAAUUUUAGUAGCUGGCAUUCUUUGCAUAUACAUCAACUAUGAUUGUGACAGGCAAAGGCAAGAAUUUCGUAGGACAAAUGGAAAAGGCACAGUCUGGGGAAAAGCUCCAUCAAAGAUAGAGGCCACAUAUACUACUACUUCUGGGGAAACUAAAAGAAGCCUUCUUUUAACCUCUGGAUGGUGGGGGACUAUCUCGUCACUUUCAUUAUGUCCCUGAAAUACUGGCAGCUUUCUUCUGGACAGUCCCAGCUCUCUUCAAUCAUUUUUUGCCUUACUUCUACGUGAUAUUUCUUACCAUCCUUCUCUUUGAUCGAGCAAAACGAGAUGAUGAUCGAUGCAGAUCCAAGCAUGGCAAGUACUGGAAACUAUAUUGUGACAAGGUAGCUUACAGAAUCAUUCCAGGAAUAUACUGAAGAAUGAUUAUUGACAAGGGCUUGUCUGGAGUCCCCCAACUGAAAAGUGAACUUUGUUUGCUUGGUGCCACCUUAAGAUGCGUGAUAGAGCUCAUUAAGUAAUUAUGGAACCAUAUUUUUUAAGCCAAUGUCGAGACUUGUGAGAAAAGUGCAUGGUUUACGGGAUGGUGGUACGAUUUGGAGUUUUAUUCUCACAUAUCAAGCAGAACAACUCUCCCAGAAGACUCUACAAGCUAUAAAGUAAACUACAACAUUGGUCAAGCAAUCUCCAGGCUGGGAUCUUUUUCGAUAAAUUUCUCUAUAGAUAAAAUAAGAAGAACAAAUUAAAUAAGGUUUUUUAUAAGUAACAUAUCUCUUCAUUAACUAAUCAUUAAUAAAUUUGUAGAUAUCUUCUUAUUUUUAAAGAGAUAUAUGAGAGAAUUUUUACAAAUUUAUUAAUAGAGAACUUCUUAUAAUUUAUGAAAAAAUUCAUCUCAAUAUUUACUUCUUAUUUUUUAUUCUUGGUUAAAAUUUCAGAGAAAUCUUCCAUCAAUAACUGAAAACCAAGGUAGGUGUUCAACAUCACAAAAUGAAAAUGAAUUUUUAUAAACAAAAAAACGUAUAAAUUUCAGAAUAUUUGUUUCCCACUUUCCUUAUGUUAUUAAACAAAAUAGAAAUCACUUUUGACACAUCUCUUAAAUUUGUUUCCCUUGUUCCUAGAUUUUUUUUUUUUUUUGCCAUUAGUACAUACCGCUAAAAAUUAUUAACGGUUGAUGAUGUGACUAACGGUUGUUCAUGUUAGUAAGUGUCAUAAUUUAUUUUAUUUCAUCUUUCAUUGUUUUGGUUACUCUUAAAAACCAUUCAUUCUCAGGUGGUUUGGCUGCCAAAAUUUUUAGAAUUUUUUUUAUUUGCUAUGUUCAUAAACUAUCUACGGAAUAAAAAAAAUUAUGAUAUUUAGAAAAAUAAAAUAAAUAACUUGAUAAAAGUCAACU
Molecule: long non-coding RNA, 1878 nt
Organism: Glycine soja
Lineage: Eukaryota; Viridiplantae; Streptophyta; Magnoliopsida; Fabales; Fabaceae
Exons: 6
Source: RefSeq, a predicted model, not a curated record